Molecule: ribosomal RNA, 1991 nt
Filed under: bioreactor sludge metagenome
Description: bacterial LSU rRNA
Rfam family: Bacterial large subunit ribosomal RNA
Source: RNAcentral
UAAAUAUAGCUACGGCAGAAAGUGAAUGCCUCGACUCAUGUAUCCGAUGAAGGACGUACUAGACUGCGAUAAGCUUGGAGAAGCUGUCAAGACGCGUUAUACUCCAAGAUUUCCGAAUGGGGGAACCUUUACCGGUAAAGCCGGUAAGCUCUAAUAAGAGCGGACACUCCGUGAACUGAAAUAUCUAAGUAGCGGUGGAAAAGAAAUCAUAUGAGAUUCCCAGAGUAGUGACGAACGAAAUGGGAUCAGCCCAAACCCGUCCCGUGUAAGGAUGAGACCGUUGCGGUCGGGGGUUGUGGGAGCGUACUAUCCAUGUCUCAUACAUGGACACGAUCGCUUCGUAUAUAGAAGAAAUGUCUGGGAAGGCAUACCGAAGAGGGUUAAAGUCCCGUAUUCGAAAUAUACGAUUCAUCCGUGCGUGCGUUUCCCGAGUAGGGUCGGACACGUGUAAUCCGGCUUGAAGCUGGGUGGACCACCAUCCAAGGCUAAAGAGUACAUGAGAUCGAUAGCGAACAAGUACCGUGAGGGAAAGGUGAAAAGAACCCCGGGAGGGGAGUGAAAUAGACCCUGAAACUUUCUGCCAAUAAAGAGUCGGAGCCUUCGGGUGACGGCGUACUUUUUGUAGAACGGACCAACGAGUUAGCUGUCAGUGGCAAGGUUAAGGAAGAGAAUAUCCGGAGCCGUAGGGAAACCGAGUCUGAAUAGGGCGAACAGUCACUGGCACUAGACCCGAAACUGGGUGAGCUACCCAUGGCCAGGCUGAAGGAGCGGUAACACGUUCUGGAGGGCCGAACCAUUUGGAGCUGCAAGUCCAUUGGAUGAGCUGUGGGUAGGAGUGAAAAGCUUAUCGAACUCAGAGAUAGCUGGUUCUCCGCGAAAUAUAUUUAGGUAUAGCCUCACGUGGUAGUAUAGAGGGGUAGGGCUCUGAUAAGGCUAGCGGGUCGCGAGACUUAGUAAACCUUGAUAAACUUCGAAUACUCUAUAUGAAAUCGUGGGAGUCAGACAGUGGCAGAUAAGUGCCAUUGUCAAAAGGGAAACAGCCCAGAUUCCUGUCUAAGGUCCCUAAAUCAUGACUCAGUGGUAAAGGAUGUGGGAUUACUGUGACAACCAGGAGGUUGGCUUAGAAGCAGCCAUUCCUUAAAAGAGUGCGUAAUAGCUCACUGGUCUAGUGAUCCUGCGCCGAAAAUUCAACGGGGCUAAGUCAUGUACCGAAGACGGAAGCGUUUAUAACGCGGUAGCGGAGCGUUCCCCAUGCCGAUGAAGUCGGACUGUAAGGUCCGGUGGAGGUACGGGAAGUGAAAAUGUUGGUAUGAGUAGCGAAUAACAAGAUGAAAACUCUUGUCACCGAAUGUCCAAGGUUUCCUAUCCAACGUCAGUCGUGGUAGGGUGAGCCGGUCCUAAGGCGUAGCCGAAAGGUGAAGCUGAUGGAGAGCAGGUCAAAAUUCCUGCGCUACAAAGUGUCGUUAUGACCUAGGUGGGGACGCAUCGGGAUAGUGGAGGUGCCGAAUGGAUGGCACUACGGGUUUCGAAACUUGUCUGGUAGGCAAAUCCGCCAGACGUUUUGGAGAGAAAUUCGUCUAGGAAGGAGCGAGCUUCGGCUCGAGCCGACCGAAGUCCUACACUAUUCUGGUGUCGAGAAAAGCCACUCGGCAGAUACAAUGUAACCGUACCGAAAUCGAACACUCGUGGACUGCUGUAAGAACAGUAAGGUGAACGGGAUAACUAUGCUUAAGGAACUCUGCAAAACAGCGGUCGUAACCUCGGGAUAAGACCUCCCGGCACGCUACUUUAGCGUGUCGGGCGCAGCUAACGAGCUCAGGCGACUGUUUACCAAAAACACAGCUCUCUGCAAACUCGCAAGAGGAAGUAUAGAGGGUGAUGCCUGCCCAGUGCCAGAAGAUCACGAGGAGGGGUGCAAGCUCUGAAUCCAAGUCCUGGUGAACGGCGGCCGUAACUAUAACGGUCCUAAGGUAGCGAAAUUCCUUGUCGGG